CUGAACUAUACUCCGAGAACAAAAGUUUUUGGUUUUAAUCAAUAACAACUUUCAGCAGUGGAUGUCUAGGCUCGCACAUCGAUGAAGAACGCUGCGAACUGCGAUACGUAAUGCGAAUUGCAGAAUUCAGUGAGUCAUCGAAAUUUUGAACGCACAUUGCACUUUCGGGAUAUUCCUGGAAGUAUGCUUGUAUCAGUGUCCGUACAUCAAACUUGCCUUUCUUUUUUUGUGUAGUCAAGAUUAGAAACGGCAGAAUGUGAGGUGUCUCGCUGGCUCCCUCUUCGGAGGAGAAGACGCGAGUCCCUUUAAAUGUACGUUCGCUCUUUCUUGUGUCUAAGUAGAAGUGUGACUUUCGAACGCAGUGAUCUGUUUGGAUCGCUUUGCGCGAGUGGGCGACUUCGGUUAGGACAUUAAAGGAAGCAACCUCUAUUGGCGGUAUGUUAGGCUUCGGCCCGACUUUGCAGCUGACAGUGUGUUGUUUUCUGUUCUUUCCUAGAGGUGUACCUGUCUUGUGUGAGGCAAUGGUCUGGGCAAAUGGUUAUUGUGUAGUAGAAUUUUGCUGCUCUUGGGCGCCUCACUUGUGGGGUAAAGAAGACAACACCAAUUUGGGACAGUUUGUGGGAUUUAUCUCGCAGGCGCUUU
RNAcentral lists this ribosomal RNA (642 nucleotides) under Pythium sulcatum. Its description in RNAcentral is "eukaryotic LSU rRNA". The stretch from base 47 to 201 matches the Rfam family "5.8S ribosomal RNA". Lineage: Eukaryota; Oomycota; Peronosporomycetes; Pythiales; Pythiaceae. The record is from RNAcentral.